UACGUAGGUGGCAAGCGUUGUCCGGAAUUACUGGGUGUAAAGGGCGCGUAGGCGGGAGAGCAAGUCAGAUGUGAAAUCCCAGGGCUUAACUCUGGAGCUGCAUCUGAAACUGUUUUUCUUGAGUACUGGAGAGGAAAGUGGAAUUCCUAGUGUAGCGGUGAAAUGCGUAGAGAUUAGGAGGAACACCAGUGGCGAAGGCGGCUUUCUGGACAGUAACUGACGCUGAGGCGCGAAAGCGUGGGGAGCAAACAGGAUUAGAUACC
RNAcentral lists this ribosomal RNA (263 nucleotides) under uncultured bacterium. Its description in RNAcentral is "partial 16S ribosomal RNA". It matches the Rfam family "Bacterial small subunit ribosomal RNA", at positions 524 to 786 of the family's 1533-position model. The record is from RNAcentral.